CGUAACGCCGGGCCGCAUGGGUGGAGCCCCGGGUCUACCGGGUUGCAAUAAGCGGUUCGCCAAGCCCACACGGUCUGCCUCCCGG
RNAcentral lists this non-coding RNA (85 nucleotides) under Pseudomonas panipatensis. Lineage: Bacteria; Pseudomonadati; Pseudomonadota; Gammaproteobacteria; Pseudomonadales; Pseudomonadaceae. The record is from RNAcentral.